GCAACAGCUCAAAUUUGAAAUCUGGCCUCUUUCGGGGUCCGAGUUGUAAUUUGUAGAGGAUGUUUUGGGUACCGCGCUGGUUUAAAUUUCUUGGAACAGGACGUCACAGAGGGUGAGAAUCCCGUACGUGCCCGGUGGCCGCCCCCGUGUGAGGCUCCUUCGAC
This 164-nucleotide ribosomal RNA is filed under the name Myxotrichaceae sp. Its description in RNAcentral is "partial large subunit ribosomal RNA". It matches the Rfam family "Eukaryotic large subunit ribosomal RNA", at positions 101 to 261 of the family's 3401-position model. The record is from RNAcentral. Lineage: Eukaryota; Fungi; Ascomycota; Leotiomycetes; Myxotrichaceae.